RNAcentral lists this ribosomal RNA (460 nucleotides) under uncultured bacterium. RNAcentral's name for it is "partial 16S ribosomal RNA". It matches the Rfam family "Bacterial small subunit ribosomal RNA", at positions 338 to 795 of the family's 1533-position model. The record is from RNAcentral.
CCUACGGGUGGCAGCAGUGAGGAAUAUUGGUCCAUGGGCGAGAGCCGGAACCAGCCAAGUCGCGUGAAGGAUGACGGCCCUACGGGUUGUAAACUUCUUUUGUCAGGGAGCACUUGGGUCCACGCGUGGGCUUAGCGAGAGUACCUGAAGGAAAAGCAUCGGCUAACUCCGUGCCAGCAGCCGCGGUAAUACGUAGGAGGCGAGCGUUAUCCGGAUUUAUUGGGUGUAAAGGGUGCGUAGGUGGUAUAUCAAGUCAGCGGUGAAAGGUUAGGUCUCAACCGUAUUAAGCCUUUGAAACUGGGGAACUUGAGUGCAGGAGAGGAGAGUGGAAUUCCUAGUGUAGCGGUGAAAUGCGUAGAUAUUAGGAGGAACACCAGUUGCGAAGGCGGCUCUCUGGACUGUAACUGACACUGAGGCACGAAAGCGUGGGGAGCAAACAGGAUUAGAUACCCGUGUAGUC